GUCUCGGUAGUGUAAGGGAUAAAAGCACGGUCCCCGAAAAGGACAAGUACGGGUUCGAAUCCCGUCCGAGACU
Non-coding RNA from Haemonchus placei, 73 nucleotides. NCBI's taxonomy places the organism in Eukaryota, Metazoa, Nematoda, Chromadorea, Rhabditida, Trichostrongylidae. The record is from Rfam.